AUCAGCAGUAAUUAACAUUAAGCUAUAAGUGAAAACUUGACUUAGUUAUGGCAACCUAUAAGGGCCGGUAAAUCUUGUGCCAGCCACCGCGGUCACACAAGAGGCCCAAAUUAACUGUAUACACGGCGUAAAGCGUGGUACUAUGCUAUCACAGCAACUAAGACCAAAAUGUAACUAAGCUGUCAUAAGCUUAAGAUACACCUAAGACCUCCCUCAAAACGAUCUUAGCGCUCUUUGAUCAAUUAUCAGCCACGAAAGCUAAGGAACAAACUGGGAUUAGAUACCCCACUAUGCUUAGCCCUAAAUCCCAAUACUUACACUACCAAAGUAUUCGCCCGAGAACUACGAGCACAAACGCUUAAAACUCUAAGGACUUGGCGG
This 381-nucleotide non-coding RNA is filed under the name Chlamydotis macqueenii (Macqueen's bustard). Its description in RNAcentral is "Chlamydotis undulata macqueenii Bacterial small subunit ribosomal RNA". It matches the Rfam family "Bacterial small subunit ribosomal RNA", at positions 347 to 916 of the family's 1533-position model. Lineage: Eukaryota; Metazoa; Chordata; Aves; Otidiformes; Otididae. The record is from Rfam by way of RNAcentral.